This is a long non-coding RNA of Haliotis rufescens (red abalone), 822 nucleotides long. RefSeq lists it as uncharacterized. The record is from RefSeq and is a predicted model, not a curated record. The transcript is spliced from 2 exons. Lineage: Eukaryota; Metazoa; Mollusca; Gastropoda; Lepetellida; Haliotidae.
UGAUGCACCUCCUGCUGUAGCACACGUAACUACUGUCUCCAGAACACUGUUAAACAGGUUGGAUGCAGUCAUCUUCUGAUUAGGAGCCAACUGGAUGUCUGUUAUGGCUUGACAUCUGUCUUGUAACUUGCUGAUGACAGAAUUUGUCGAAAUUACUUUGAUAACAGCCCCCAACUUCUGAGACACUAUGUUACAUAACCCGACUGAGAAAGGUCAUGUGACCAUGCCAGGACCAGUGUGAGGCUGACUGGUGGACAGGUCAAGUAGGUGAAAGGUCAUGUGACCAUGCCAGGACCAGUGUGAGGCUGACUGGUGGACAGGUCAAGUAGGUGAAAGGUCAUGUGACCAUGCCAGGACCAGUGUGAGGCUGACUGGUGGACAGGUCAAGUAGGUGAAAGGUCAUGUGACCAUGCCAGGACCAGUGUGAGGCUGACUGGUGGACAGGUCAAGUAGGUGAAAGGUCAUGUGACCAUGCCAGGACCAGUGUGAGGCUGACUGGUGGACAGGUCAAUUAGGUGAAAGGUCAUGUGACCAUGCUAGGACCAGUGUGAGGCUGACUGGUGGAUAAGUUCCAGUGGAUAAGAGAAUGAUUUCAGCACAUUAUAAUUAAUAUGAAGAGUUCACACAGUAUACUGGUCAUGCAUAGAUACAGGUCAUGUUCCUCAACAAGACAAAUCGCCCAAUAUGACAAGAUCGCAGACUGAUGGCCACAAGUCCAAAAGUGUAUGUGCAGGGAUGUGAAAUCUGCGAGGAAACGCGGAAAAUUGCGUUUUUUAAAACAGUAGUCCUCGGGGGAAAAAACAUAUUCCUCGGAAAAUAUAA